CUAACAAGGAUUCCCUUAGUAACUGCGAGUGAAGCGGGAAUAGCUCAAAUUUAAAAUCUGGCAGUGUUUGGCUGUCCGAAUUGUAGCCUAGAGAAGUGUUGCCGAUGCUGGACCAUGUACAAGUCUCCUGGAAGGGAGCGUCGCAGAGGGUGAGAAUCCCGUAUUUGACAUGGACUACCAGUGUAUUGUGGUAUGCUCUCAAAGAGUUGAGUUGUUUGGGAAUGCAGCUCUAAAUGGGUGGUAAACUCCAUCUAAAGCUAAAUAUUGGCGAGAGACCGAUAGCAAACAAGUACCGUGAGGGAAAGAUGAAAAGAACUUUGGAAAGAGAGUUAAACAGUACGUGAAAUUGU
RNAcentral lists this ribosomal RNA (350 nucleotides) under Amanita timida. RNAcentral's name for it is "eukaryotic LSU rRNA". It matches the Rfam family "Eukaryotic large subunit ribosomal RNA", at positions 65 to 408 of the family's 3401-position model. The record is from RNAcentral. Lineage: Eukaryota; Fungi; Basidiomycota; Agaricomycetes; Agaricales; Amanitaceae.